AACACAUCCGGGUUCCAUUAUUUCGUCUAUGGUAUAAGGCUUUAUAAGGACCUCAGGAUAUAGAGGAAUAGCUCCACCACUAGUACCAACCGUCGACAUCGGCAUGAGAGAUGAGUCAUUAACAACACGUGGUUUAGCAACUUUUUUCUUACCACGUGAUGUUUUGGAUAUUCCUCGUUUCCCACCGUUCUCGUUCCUCCUGAUCCUCCUACUCCCGACACUGA
RNAcentral lists this long non-coding RNA (224 nucleotides) under Cicer arietinum (chickpea). Its description in RNAcentral is "long non-coding RNA (CARI_LNC003584)". The record is from RNAcentral. Lineage: Eukaryota; Viridiplantae; Streptophyta; Magnoliopsida; Fabales; Fabaceae.